GUGCCAGCAGCCGCGGUAAUACGUACCGUACGAACGUUAUUCGGAAUCACUGGGCUUAAAGAGUCCGUAGGCGGCCUUAAAGGUGAGGUGUGAAAUCCCACGGCUUAACCGUGGAACUGCGCUUCAAACCAUAAGGCUAGAGGGAGAUAGAGGAAAGCGGAACUGAUGGUGGAGCGGUGAAAUGCGUUGAUAUCAUCAGGAACACCGGUGGCGAAAGCGGCUUUCUGGGUCUCUUCUGACGCUGAGGGACGAAAGCUAGGGGAGCGAACGGGAUUAGAUACCCGGGUAGUCC
Molecule: ribosomal RNA, 292 nt
Filed under: uncultured bacterium
Lineage: Bacteria
Description: partial 16S ribosomal RNA
Rfam family: Bacterial small subunit ribosomal RNA
Source: RNAcentral